This 262-nucleotide long non-coding RNA is filed under the name Ananas comosus (pineapple). RNAcentral describes it as "long non-coding RNA (ACOM_LNC021417)". The record is from RNAcentral. Lineage: Eukaryota; Viridiplantae; Streptophyta; Magnoliopsida; Poales; Bromeliaceae.
AUAUGUAGGGUGGAGCCUUGGGCGGACAGGGGAUGUUCUGUCCGUUUGGCGUCUAUGGACAUACCCGAACCGACUAAAUUGGCGGUCAUGGGACGUGACGAGUACAUCCCAGACCCGUCGCACAACAUCGGUCUGAUGAGCACCCAGCUGUAGGAGGAUUUGAGUUAUGAGGAGGCUCCGUUGCGGAUUUUGGCACGUAAGGUGAAGCUGUUGCGGAACUGAAGUAUUCCGUAUGCGAAGGUUCUGUGGGAAAACCAAGAGG